Molecule: ribosomal RNA, 253 nt
Filed under: uncultured bacterium
Lineage: Bacteria
Description: partial 16S ribosomal RNA
Rfam family: Bacterial small subunit ribosomal RNA
Source: RNAcentral
UACGUAGGUGGCAAGCGUUGUCCGGAUUUACUGGGUGUAAAGGGCGUGCAGCCGGAGAGACAAGUCAGAUGUGAAAUCCACGGGCUCAACCCGUGAACUGCAUUUGAAACUGUUUCCCAUGAGUGUCGGAGAGGUAAUCGGAAUUCCUUGUGUAGCGGUGAAAUGCGUAGAUAUAAGGAAGAACACCAGUGGCGAAGGCGGAUUACUGGACGAUAACUGACGGUGAGGCGCGAAAGCGUGGGGAGCAAACAGG